ACGACGAAGACAUUAUUUAUUACUUUUCUGCGGUGUCUUGUACUUAGCUAAAAACAUACGCAUAGAAUAGAUACCUAAACAUUCCAUCCUGAUUUUCACAAACUCAACAUCGACUUCAAACAUCUCUAUGGCCAAUCGGUCAUCCGCUAAACCCAUUCCAUCGAUCACUCUAAGUAAAAUUACUAACUCCUGCAACAUCCGGAAAUCAACCGACAUUGAUAUACAGUACGUUCAUGCUAAAAUGUACCACUAAAUAUUUCAGUCGGAUGACAUUAUAUUGAAAUGGA
Cinara cedri is the source of this 287-nucleotide non-coding RNA. Lineage: Eukaryota; Metazoa; Arthropoda; Insecta; Hemiptera; Aphididae. The record is from the annotation of a GenBank genome assembly.